Molecule: long non-coding RNA, 864 nt
Filed under: Strigops habroptila (Kakapo)
Lineage: Eukaryota; Metazoa; Chordata; Aves; Psittaciformes; Psittacidae
Description: lncRNA (ENSSHBG00005018334.1)
Source: RNAcentral
GGCACCCACCGCCCGCCCCGCCGCGAUGCCUCCUGCGGGACCCCGCGCUGCCGCCCGGCGCCGGACGGCACCUCGCGUCCACGCGUGACCCACCAGGCUCCCGGGUGUGCCCUGAGAAGCAGGUGAGACACAGGACCCAAGGCCAUGCCCGUGUGGAGUGAGGAGCAGCCCCGCGCUCACCCGUCACUGCAGACACCCUGCGGCCACCGAGCCCCCCCCCGCGCUGCAGCCUCAGCACAGCCAUGGACAGCGCAGAGGUGGAGUCGGACAUCCUGCGCCGCGUCCGCACGCUGCUGCGAGAGCUGGAUGGGCACCACCCCGCCUGCCAGUGCGACCGAGGUAGGACAGACCCAGGCACGGCCCCGGGGUCAGCACCCGCCCCAAACCCACGUCGCUCCCCGGGGUGGAGGGACACGGGGCAGCCUCACCUCCCUGGUGCUGGUCUGCCCUUUCUAACCUGCUCUUGGAGCUGUCUGCCCCUCAGCAGCUUCCAUCCCUCCUCUACGUGGCUCUUACGUCCUUUAUACCCUCCACUUGCCCAGAAGGUCCAACACUGAGGUGGGAUGACAGUGAAUGCCGGAGUCUGUGAUGCUGUUCCCACACAGACCUGCCCAACUCGCUUAACACCCGUGAACUGGGAGUCUCCCUGUCUCUCCCUAUGGGAUAUUGCUUUGCCACAUGCUGCUCAGCUCCUCCUAAAGAGUCAGCUGGAAUCCUCGUGUUAUGGUUUUGGAGAAGCAAACCCUAGCUGACGUGGCAACUGGACUGCUGCAGUCUCAGGAAAUAAAUUCAUUGAAAAACUGAUUUUACUUGGAGUGCAUGGGAUAUUUUACAGUUAAUUAAAUCAAUUUUUGUCUGGAAUGA